Pollicipes pollicipes is the source of this 759-nucleotide long non-coding RNA. RefSeq lists it as uncharacterized. NCBI's taxonomy places the organism in Eukaryota, Metazoa, Arthropoda, Thecostraca, Pollicipedomorpha, Pollicipedidae. The transcript is spliced from 4 exons. The record is from RefSeq and is a predicted model, not a curated record.
AAAUUCAUCGUCCUUUGUGUGGUUUUAGGCGUUGUGAGCAGCUCUCGGAAAGCUACAGGCUGGCCCAAGCUGUGCAAAACGGAUGCUGACUGCUCGCAUUACUUUCCCUACUGCGGGGAGGGCAAAUGUCGCCCGGUUACAACAUUCUGCAUUUCCGGCGAACGCGGCGUUGCCGGAUGUAACACAUGUAAAUGCGUACGUCACGGCUGGGCUUGUACAAAAAUUUACUGCAGGUCAUAUAAGCAUAAAGGAGCGGUACCGUGUCGGCUGGCAGGGGACCUGCCACUGUGCCGUUAAAUAUCUUCGGCACUGCUUCGGCAACUUCAGCUGGAAUUGCAAGAGCACGGCCACCACUUUCAGAGGCAGCUUUGGAGCUGGUAAUGGGAGUUUCUGAACGUGUGAAAAAUCCGCGCACAAAAAAAAUACAAUAUGCUUUGGGGGAUCGCACGCACGAAGAACUGUGAGUCAAGACAAAGAGUACAGACACCUCUGAUGCGCUCUGAAACAUGAUGUGAUGAUCCAAAAUGAUGUAUUCAUCGCAACAUCUGUCUGUGAUGACCCUGAAAACGCCUCUUUUAACACCACAAAUGCAGUUUUUGACACCGCUUUCAGGAGUUCUGUAUUUCUUUUCACACAUAAUGCGACCAGACCGAAACCAGCCCAGAACUUUGCGCCCUGACCAGACCUCUGCGACAGAACGCAAACUUUGCUGCACUUCUUAUUGUUAUUUUGUGUGGAAAAUAAACCAUCAGGCGGUCA